CAGUAGCCACGGUAAUACAGAGGGUGCGAGCGUUAAUCGGAUUUACUGGGCGUAAAGCGUGCGUAGGCGGCUAAUUGAGUCGGAUGUGAAAUCCCCGAGCUUAACUUGGGAAUUGCAUUCGAUACUGGUUAGCUAGAGUGUGGGAGAGGAUGGUAGAAUUCCAGGUGUAGCGGUGAAAUGCGUAGAGAUCUGGAGGAAUACCGAUGGCGAAGGCAGCCAUCUGGCCUAACACUGACGCUGAGGUACGAAAGCAUGGGGAGCAAACAGGAUUAGAGACCCCAGUAGUCCCUGUCUCUUAUAC
Molecule: ribosomal RNA, 301 nt
Filed under: uncultured bacterium
Lineage: Bacteria
Description: partial 16S ribosomal RNA
Rfam family: Bacterial small subunit ribosomal RNA
Source: RNAcentral